RNAcentral lists this unclassified non-coding RNA (20 nucleotides) under Mus musculus (house mouse). RNAcentral describes it as "oocyte_clustered_small_RNA8977". The record is from RNAcentral. Lineage: Eukaryota; Metazoa; Chordata; Mammalia; Rodentia; Muridae.
UGGGGAUGACGUGCCGGCAG